Molecule: small nuclear RNA, 164 nt
Organism: Esox lucius (northern pike)
Lineage: Eukaryota; Metazoa; Chordata; Actinopteri; Esociformes; Esocidae
Gene: U1
Rfam family: U1 spliceosomal RNA
About the family: U1 is a small nuclear RNA (snRNA) component of the spliceosome (involved in pre-mRNA splicing).
Source: Ensembl
AUACUUACCUGGCAAGGGAGACACCGUGAUCACCAAGGCGGUUCACCCAGGGCGAGGCUCGGCCAUUGCACUCCGGCUGUGCUGACCCCUGCGAAUUUCCCAAAUGUGGAAAUCUCGAGUGCAUAAUUUCUGGUAGUGGGGGACUGCGUUCGCGCUCUCCCCUG